AACAAACUUCCUCAUGGAGGCAGCUGACCUUACCUGACUGUGGGGGCAUGGAUAGCACUACAGGCACUUGGGAAAGGUGGGACACACCAACUCACAAGAGCUGGCUGAGAACUCGGGGCCACUGCACUGAGAAGCCCAUAGCCUGCAGAAACACAGUACCAGAGAGAGAGAGAGAGAGAGAGAGAGAGGCAGAAGCUCCCCAAGGAUCUGCAGGAGUGUUGAUAAAGGUGUCUCUUGUUCCCAUCUCCUCUGGAGGAUGGGGAGAGCCCAGGCUGCAUCCAGAGGAAAUCACCGAGUAUCUACAGACAUCAGCUGCCAACUUCAGACCAGCCAUGCCAUGUGGCUGAGAGAUGUCACCUCUGGCUUUGACGUUCCCUGCCGGCUGGCCCUGGCUUAUUCAUGGCACCCCUCCCUUGACACAGGGACUUGUCUCAGCACGGUGUGACCUCAAGAGCCACUGUCUAUGGUCUGCUAGCCCUGUCUGGCAGCUUGAAUGGCCUGAUCUCACUUUGGUUUGAUGCGUAAUACCAUGAACGAAUGACUUACAGAAC
This 551-nucleotide long non-coding RNA is filed under the name Fukomys damarensis (Damara mole-rat). RNAcentral's name for it is "lncRNA (ENSFDAG00000029070.1)". Lineage: Eukaryota; Metazoa; Chordata; Mammalia; Rodentia; Bathyergidae. The record is from RNAcentral.